GAGCUGAGAAGCCCCAGUUUCCACUUUCUGACUCCUGGACUCAGCUGAUUUGAACCCCUCAGUAGAACAGCAGCAGCCCAUCCGCAGCUUUCCUAGAAGUUCCUGACUUAGCAACCCGAAAAGCGUUCUAAUCAAGUGAGAAUUCAUCACUCUCAUUGGGACUUGUGAAAAUGGGAAAACAUCUGAAUAAUGGCUAUUGCUGGGGCUUUGGAACCAGAUGGACCUAUCUUCUUCCUCGGCCGCAUGCAGAUCCUGGACACCUGGACAAGAUAACAAAGGUGGUGUCUAGAGCAAGCUGGGCUCCUCCUUGCUUGAUCCUCAGGACUUCCCCAAGGAUGAAUCAAGUUAUUCCACUUCCAAGGAGAUGUGCUUACAUUUGAAACAUUGUAUCAGUUACUUUACCACAAUAAAGACAAAUGAUGGGAGGAGAAAAGAGGAGGGAAAUGACAGAAGAAAUGGCUGUCAGAAGGAGAAAGCAGUACUGGCUGACAUGUGAGAAGAACUGAUGAGAGCGGGGCCCUACAGAGAGAGAGAAGCACUGCCUAGAGGAACUGCCGGCUCA
Molecule: non-coding RNA, 562 nt
Organism: Macaca mulatta (Rhesus monkey)
Lineage: Eukaryota; Metazoa; Chordata; Mammalia; Primates; Cercopithecidae
Source: RefSeq, a predicted model, not a curated record